This 306-nucleotide unclassified non-coding RNA is filed under the name plant metagenome. RNAcentral describes it as "partial contains 5.8S ribosomal RNA, internal transcribed spacer 2, and large subunit ribosomal RNA". The stretch from base 1 to 105 matches the Rfam family "5.8S ribosomal RNA", at positions 50 to 154 of the family's 154-position model. The record is from RNAcentral.
GAAAUGCGAUAAGUAAUGUGAAUUGCAGAAUUCAGUGAAUCAUCGAAUCUUUGAACGCACAUUGCGCCCGCCAGUAUUCUGGCGGGCAUGCCUGUCCGAGCGUCAUUUCAACCAUCAAGCCCCCGGGCUUGUGUUGGGGACCUGCGGCUGCCCGCAGGCCCUGAAAACCAAUGGCGGGCUCGCUGUCACACCGAGCGUAGUAGCAAUCACCUCGCUCAGGGCGUGCUGCGGGUUCCGGCCGUUAAACAGCCUUACAAAACCCAAGGUUGACCUCGGAUCAGGUAGGAAGACCCGCUGAACUUAAGC